Molecule: small RNA, 28 nt
Filed under: Bombyx mori (domestic silkworm)
Lineage: Eukaryota; Metazoa; Arthropoda; Insecta; Lepidoptera; Bombycidae
Description: ovarian small RNA-23419
Source: RNAcentral
UAUAUAUCGAUAUCAGCCGAUACACGAU